RNAcentral lists this ribosomal RNA (539 nucleotides) under uncultured Hymenobacter sp. RNAcentral describes it as "bacterial SSU rRNA". It matches the Rfam family "Bacterial small subunit ribosomal RNA", at positions 96 to 633 of the family's 1533-position model. The record is from RNAcentral. Lineage: Bacteria; Pseudomonadati; Bacteroidota; Cytophagia; Cytophagales; Hymenobacteraceae.
UGGCGCACGGGUGCGUAACGCGUAGCCAACCUGCCCUCGACCGGGGGAUAGCCCGCCGAAAGGCGGAUUAAUACCGCAUAAGACUUGGGGCCGGCAUCGGUUUUUGGUUAAAGAUUUAUUGGUCGGGGAUGGGGCUGCGUGCCAUUAGCUGGUUGGGGGGGUAACGGCCCACCAAGGCGACGACGGCUAGGGGAGCUGAGAGGCUGGUCCCCCACACGGGCACUGAGACACGGGCCCGACUCCUACGGGAGGCAGCAGUAGGGAAUAUUGGGCAAUGGAGGAGACUCUGACCCAGCCAUGCCGCGUGCCGGACGAAGGCCUUCUGGGUCGUAAACGGCUUUUUUCCGGGAAGAACCGGUUCCGUGCGCGGGGCCCUGACGGUACCGGGAGAAUAAGCACCGGCUAACUCCGUGCCAGCAGCCGCGGUAAUACGGAGGGUGCGAGCGUUGUCCGGAUUUAUUGGGUUUAAAGGGUGCGUAGGCGGCCGCGUAAGUCCGGGGUGAAAGCCCGUUGCUCAACAACGGAACUGCCCUGGAAAC